This 177-nucleotide non-coding RNA is filed under the name Pediococcus argentinicus. Its description in RNAcentral is "Lysine sequence". It matches the Rfam family "Lysine riboswitch aptamer". Rfam says of the family: Riboswitches are metabolite binding domains within certain messenger RNAs that serve as precision sensors for their corresponding targets. Allosteric rearrangement of mRNA structure is mediated by ligand binding, and this results in modulation of gene expression. The record is from Rfam by way of RNAcentral. Lineage: Bacteria; Bacillati; Bacillota; Bacilli; Lactobacillales; Lactobacillaceae.
AUUAACUUAAGAGGUCGCAACCGACAAGAUUAGGUGGUGGAGUUCACACAGAACUUUGAAGCUAUCGAAAGGGGAAGUUGCCGAAGCGGUUAUUCGUGUAAAUAACUUAGCUGGGACGCUGCUCAAUAAGCAACGGACUGUCACAACGUUCACUCGUUGUGGGGCGCUUAACGAAUA